UAAUACGUAGGGGGCGAGCGUUGUCCGAAGUUACUGGGCGUAAAGCGCGCGUAGGCGGCUUUUUAAGUCUGGGGUGAAAGGUUCAACGCUCAACGUGAACAGUGCCUUGGAUACUGGGAAGCUUGAAUGUGGCAGAGGAUAGUGGAAUGGCUGGUGUAGCGGUGAAAUGCGUAGAUAUCAGUCGGAACACCCAUGGCGAAGGCAGCUAUCUGGGCUAACAUUGACGCUGAGGUGCGAAAGCGUGGGGAGCGAACGGGAUUAGAUACCCCGGUAGUCCACGCCGUAAACGAUGAGUGCUAGGUGUAGGCGGUAUCGACCCCGCCUGUGCCGUCGCUAACGCAUUAAGCACUCCGCCUGGGGAGUACGGCCGCAAGGUUG
Molecule: ribosomal RNA, 378 nt
Filed under: uncultured bacterium
Lineage: Bacteria
Description: bacterial SSU rRNA
Rfam family: Bacterial small subunit ribosomal RNA
Source: RNAcentral